UUUUUUUUUUUUUUUUUUAAAGCAGAACCAAGAACAUUCCAUUUUGGGGGGAAAUCAAAUGUUUUUUUUUUUUUUUUUUUUUAAAUUCAGCAAGGCUGCCGGUUCCAGGCUGAGGCACUGGUAAAAAAUUUCUGCGAUCCUCCCAGCAAGGGAAGUCUGAUUAAGAAACUCUUACAAAUAAAUGUUUAUUAAAGGGCAACAGUAUCUGGUCUUGGGCUGCACUGCAGAGGUGUAGCAGGUAAUUUGCACAGAUCUCCCUGAGUUCAGUUGGUUUCCAGCCUCCAGACAUGCACUUGACCCGAAUGGCCUGGAAGUUGCUCCAGGGCAAAGGCAGUGUCUUUUCCGAGGUUGUGGGCCCCCUCGCGUUGAGCAUAAUGGGUUGUAAAUUCUAGGUCCUCGGUGGAUAAGUGUCUGCUAAGUGAAUGAAAACAUCUAGAAUCAUCCUGUUCCCAUAGCACGCAUGUGCCGUCCACAUCAGCUCAGUGCUUCACUGAGUUUCAAAUCAUGGGCUAAAAAUGAAGAUAAAGUACAUGCGUCUAACUUAGGGUACAGGAGGCAGUCUGUCUUCUAAGACCUUCACAUCAGCUGAGUUUGAGAACCAGGGCCCUGUGUUGAAUUAGCUCCGUAAUAACCACCCUGAUGGCUCCUCUGCCAGGGGGCUCUGGUUGGCACCUAAUUAAGUUUCGGUUGACCUCUCCCCAGAGUUACUGGGAACUUUUAUUUCCUCUGUCAAAGCACAAAAUAGACUCAGGGGAACUUCCCCAGAAAAGGCCAAACCUGGCCUCUUGUGGGUUCCACAUGGGGACCCACGUGAAUGUCACCAAGCCUUUGUAAAGUUCCCCCUGGCUUCCUGUCCCCCAGUCAACUGUAUCUGUUCACAGCACCAGGCUCUGACCUGGGCUUAGGCCAUCAAUGUCCCUUGCUUCCCAGGGACCCUGAGGCUGGAUUUCUUGCCUCUGUUCUUGCCCUGUUCCUCCGCUGACAUCACCCCCCACCCCACAAAGCUCACCACUGGUCCCCUCCAGUCUGGGACUGUAUCCUAGAUUUUGUAGCUCAACCGAGAGAAUGUGAACUUGAGCCCUCAUUCCCCUUCCCUUUCUUUAACCCAUGAACUUUACAUAGCCAUUUGCACUUAGAGUGGUGCCUGUGAACUCAGACCCCUGCCAGCACCACACAGAUCACAUCACGUGUGGAGCUGGUGGGCACCCUGGCAAGUGGGCGGGAGCUUCCCAGGUCUCUGCCGAUCCUUGGCCUCCCUGCUUGGAUAGCAGAUGGUGCAGAGCGUGAGUUUGCUGCCGUGGAACAAAGAGCUGCAUGAGAUGCUGAGCGGCCACCAGAACCUGCCCCCCACCCAGUUCAGCUGCAGUGGGGGAGAGGUGGGAGGGCAGAUUAGCUACUGGAGGCUGGACAAGGAGGGCAUACGCAUCUCAAUUCUGGCUGGUAUACCCAAGUCUUGAUCUUUUAUUUUCAAGAGAAAGCAAAAACCUGGAUUUUUUCAUGUGAAAUACCCCAAUUUUCAACACAGCCUGGUUUAGUCUAAAAGCUCUGUGUCGGCUAAUGGAAACCACCCAUAGGUUGUACUCAGGCUGCGGACUGCUGGUUGGACAGCUGCCUUACUGAGACCCCACACGAGCUUCGGUUCCUUGAUUCCUUGGGGCAUCUUUAUGAUCCACCUUUUGGGUGCAGAAAGCCCAUAGGUGAAUGGAGGAGCUGGCUCUGAGCCUGCUUCUUGCAACUCCAAGUCCACGGGUCCAGCUGCUGCAACGAGAGGUUUCCCAGCUGCCGAGUUUUCCCCAAGUGCUUGUUCCUGGGAUGAGGGAGCCAUCCUUCAACUCUGGGCAACACGGCACCUACCAGACCCAAAGGUCUCUGGGCUGGCAGGUCUUAGUACUCUGCAGGGAAGCUGAGCCACUGCAGCGGGAGCCUCGGGGGGCCUGGGCACCUUGGGCCAUGGGAGCAGGAAGCCAAGGUCUCUUCCUCAAGCCUGUCCUCUUCUGCCACCUUGGACGUAAGCUUCUCUCUGCUUCUCCCUCAGGUGAGCCUGAAGCUGAGGCCACCUACCAUGCUGCCUCCUAGUCUGAACCUGGGUCCAGGUGAUGUGAGCGUUAGCUUUGCUCUCAUCUCCCAGGGUGACUUUGGAUGUUUUUCUUCCCGUGGGUGGAGAGUCCACACAUGCAAAAUGAGAGGCUUCAACGAGUGUAUAUACCUAUUGGGACUCUGAAUGCAUGCGACAGAAAACCCAGCUCACGCCGGCAAAGGCCAAGACUGGAAAUGAUAGUUGACAUCAUAAAGUAAAAAUAGCAGCGGUUUGAACAUUAUUUCCGUAAAUUGGCCUCUUUGAUCUGUCUCUCAGCUCUGCUCUCCUCUGUUUUGGCUUCCUUUCAAGGUGGCCACAGGUCACUCCAGGUCUACAACUUGCUGGACUCAAGCACAGGGACAAAGAGGAAGGUGGCCUCUCUCUGGACAGCAGCAGCUGAAGGUGUAUCGCAGGUCGCUGGCUCAGUGUGCGGUGGGUGCCUGACCCUGGGCCAGUCCCUGUGGCCUGAGAAAUGCACUUCACAGAAUGGUGUCGCCUGCCCACCCACCCAAAACACCUGGGGGCAGAAGUCAGGGGACGGCCAGAAGGACAAAGGGGGUCCUAGGUAUUCAAGUUCAUUAUUGAUUUCAUUUUAUUUUUUGUUAUGGAGAACAGAAAUGCUACCAAAAGUCAAAACUAAACAGAAAGAAAGGCUCAGAGAAGCAUCCUUUAUGCCCUAAGUUUGCCCCAUCCUCCCUGGUGCAUCUCAUAGAAAACCGACUAUAUUGCUUUUUGGUUUGUUCUUCCUGUGCUUCUUUUUGUAAAGAGAGCAAAUAUAUGCAAAUCCUAUGAUUUCCCUUCUUUCUCACAUGAAGGACGGCUGGUGACAUGUGCUCUUUUCUACGUUGCCUUUUCACUUAGCAGUGUCUCUUGAAAGUCAUUCCGAAUUGAUUCACAGAGCUAGUCCUCAUCUGUUUAAAUUGCUCAGGACCAGAGUUCCCGUCGUGGCUCAGUGGUUCAUGAAUCCGACUAGGAACCAUGAGGUUGUGGGUUCGAUCCCUGGGAAAGGCAAAAAGACAAAAAUAAAUGAAUAAAUAAAAUAAAAUAAAUAAAUAAAGUAUGCUGUUAAAAAAAAAGAUAAAUUGCUCAGGACCUCAUUGUGUGUGAAUACUAUACUUUAUUCAACCAAUGUCCUGUUUUUGGCAAUUUAGAUAGUUUCCAAUAUGUUUCAACUAUAUAUAAUGCUGAAAUGAAUAACCUUGGAUAUCUGUAUUUUUUAAUUGAAAUAUAGUUGAUUUACAAUGUUGUAUUAGUGUCAGGUACACAGCAAAGUGAUACUAUAUAUAGAGACUAUAUAUAGAGAGAGUAUAUAUAGAGAGAGACUAUAUAUAUAUAUAUAUAUGGUAUUGUUAUGGUUACGAAAAUUUGUUUUCCCAUCUGAUGGGUAAAAGAUGCUAUUCAGUAUGGACUUACUUUGCAUUUUUAUUAAGUGUGAAAUUGAUCAUAUUUUCAUGUGUUAAGGUCUAAUUUUAUAUUUCUUUUAAUGAAUUGUCUAUUCAUGUCUUUUGUCCAUUUUUCUAUUGGAUUUUUGGUAUUUCUUAAUUUUUAAAACAUUAGAUAUUGGUUCUUUAUGAUCUAUGUUACGGAUACUUUUCUAUCAGUUUUCAUUUGUGUUUUGACUAUGCUAAAGGUUUUUUUGAUAGGAUUUUUAGUCAUAUUACAAAUUUUUUCAGAGUUCCCAUUGUGGCUCAGUGGAAACAAACCCAACUAGUAUCCAUGAAGAUGUGGGUUCGAUCCCUGGCCUUGCUCAGUGGGUUAAGAAUCUGGUAUUGCCGUGAGCUGAGGUGUAUGUCACAGAUGCAAGAUAUGAAAAUUCUGAAGGUUCUAAGGGUUGAAUCGGAGCUGUAGCUGCCAGCCUACACCACAGCCACAGCAAUGCGGGAUCUGAACCACGUCUGUGACCUAUACCACAGCUCAUGACAACACUGGAUCCUUAACCCACUGAGCAGGCACAGGGAUUGAACAGGCAUCCUCAUGGAUACUAGUCAGGUUCAUUACCACUAAGCCAAGAUGAGAACUCCUAAUUUUAUUUUCUAAGUGAUUAUACAGUUAACCCAAUACCAGUUAGCCUCAGUAAUUUGGAGAUACCCCCUUUAUCAUAUCCUAGAUUUCUUUAAGUCUUUGGGUCUAUUUCUUGACUUCUUGUUCUAUUCCAUUGGUCUGUCUGCUUUUUAGGUGUUGAUACUACACUGUUUUGAUUAUUGAGGCUUCAGAGUGUGUAUUAAUAUCUUGUGGGACCUUUCCUCUUCCACAGAAGAUUGUUUUUUUAAAGAGAGGAGUUAUUCUAGAGUAUCUGUAGGCUGAGGGAAAUGACCAAGUCGAGAGAUGAGUUGGGCGAGAGAGGGGAAACGUGGUGUUCUUGAAUGGGCUCAGGUGGAGAACUCUGGAAGGAGCUCGAGAAUACAGAUUCAGAAGUCAGUAGAUUCGUUGGUGAGAAGAAUUCUCUUCUGACUUUGUUUUCUAGUAAAAUAAGAACCAAGGUCCUCAGCUGAGCGUGGGGGAAGGGGAGAAGUAGUGGAAUCACUCAGACAGUGCCUAGGGCCCACUUGAGGUUUGUGGUCGUAAAUAGAAAGCAAGACCCAUCUGUGUAGUGGUGUGUUUUCCCCUAGCCUCACACAAUGGCUUGGGUUUGGGAGAUGAGUUGAGUUCAAACUGUUGGGAUUUAGCCAAAGAAGUACGACAGAUGGAGAGAGGAGGGAGCAUGGAUGCAGGUGAGCAGAACGAUGGGCCGGGGAUGCUGUUGGGCAAGGAGGGAAAGGAGGACGGUGCGUGAGGGGUUGGAUGUGAAGAAGAGGGUACCCAUGGUGGAUUAAAGAUCCUGAAAGGUUUCAGAAAUGUUGGUCUUUGGAAGGGGAGGUGAUGGUCCUGGGAGUGGGUGACUCAGAUGGGAUAGAAGAAAAGAUAUCCACAAAGGUAUAAAAAGACUCAAGGGCCAGCAUGUAGGUAGGUUGUCGUCAUGGUUGGGAUGGUAGUGACAGAGAUGGUGAGCUUGAUCCUAAAAUCCUCACGAGUAAAGGGCAGAGGCUGGGAGGUUGGAGGUGCCUGCAAACGAGAGGGGCGUGGGUGGGCUCUCCAUGAACCACUCUGCAAAGACCUGCAGAAUUGCAGCACAGGAAGACCAGGUCCCCCUACCCCAGAAGUCUCUUCAUGUUCCUCUGCAGUCUGUUCCCCUGGCAACCUUCCAGGGUUGGGUUAAGCUGUGAAGAUGGAGUCUAAGAGGCUUGCCUAAGAGAUCUGCCUUUAAGUUGGGAGAGCCUGGCAUUUCUUAAAACUCAAAGGCAAUCAGAGAGCCUUAGGGAGACAGUAGAGAGCCAGGCGGGACCCUUUGGGGCUGGUGUGAGUUCCACCACAGCAAAGCCCCUGGGAUGCCUCUGCAGUGGAGGCCAGGUGAAUGGAGAGGUUGCUUGUCAUGCAGAAGUGCAAGGAGGUGAGCUUGAACCCUCAAAGGGUCAAUUACCCUGCAGAGCCUACCCUGGCUGCAGAAUCAAAGCCAUAGGUCUUUCCAAAAGAGUUCCCCAGUGUUGAAAGCCAUCCUCCUACUUCAGGCAUCCUAUCCCAUUCAGACUUCCUGAGCAUCCUCAAACACCUGAAAUUAGAUCCUGGAGGAGGAUGUGUCCCUGCCAGGGGAACUGGACCUGGGCCCACCUGGGCCAAAGCUGUCAUGAGCCCUGGCUGAAUGGGUGACCCCAGUGUGGCUUUGGCCAUGUAGCUGAGGCUGACCGUGCCUGAGACCUAUUGACAGGAAGGGCUCCAGAUCUUCAUGAGGGGAAAAUAAAUAAUGUGAGACAGGCUUUGAGAGAGCAAAACAACAAAUGGAUGGGCCUAGGUGAGCUCCAGGCAGUGAGGGUGACAAAUGGAACAGGUGGAAUGUCAGAUCUGGGUCUUUGUUGAGAAUGACAGAUGAUGGUCUAGGACCUGUUAAGAUGUCAGAAAAAAGAUUCAGAUCAAGGUUAUUUUCAGUCAUUGAUAGUAAUUUGCAAGUUGGUGUAGAUGUAGAGGAAAAAUGCAUACCAGACUCGGCGCCCACUGACACGUGCUCACAUGGGCUGGAGAGAACAGGUGAGAGAAACCCAUCUCUGUUCCAUGCUGUGUCUCGGGAGGUCCUAAGCAGAGGAGGGGUGAGGUCCUGUCAGCUCUUACUCUCAGCUGUAAUUUGCCAGUGAGCCUGGGUCCCAAGAUUGGCAGAUGGGGCCUGGAUGUGAGGUCAGAGAUGGGGAGGGGGUGGGAUGGGGAGGAUCCAGACACCUCUGCCCUCACCCAUUCCUGUGCCUUCCUUUCCUCAGGAAGAAGUGAUGCUUGGGGGUUACCAGCCCCAAAUCUCCAUCCAAAAGAGACAUCUCAGAUCCUGUAGACACACACACACACACACACACACACACACACACACACUCUAACACACACACACACUCUCACACACUCACACUGUCCGCCCCUUCCAGCUUAGACCAACUUACCAUCCUUCAGAUCCCAAUGAGAUCUUAGCUUCUGCAUGCUAAACACCUCUACUCUCAUGCUCCUGGUUGGCAGACCCCCCCCCCUUUACAGAUAGACUUUUUGGACUUGUGUCCCCACCCAAGUCUGUCUUUGGAAUAGCAGUUGACUGUACUAUCAUGUUUAAAUCUUUAAGGAAGGUCUGUUCUGUUAGCCAUGAGACAUCAGAAAGUCAGCCUUGAACUUGGUGAUGCCACCGUGGUUUGCUCUCAUGUAAGCUACUUGUGCGUGUUUUAAGGAGCUUUCUUUGGCUUUUUUUGUUUCUCUAUUACAUAAGUGACUACGUAAGUGAAUUAGAAUUCUCUAUUCCCUUUUGGCUCUGUGUCACUUGUGUUGUCUAGCAGGCAUGUACAGAGUAGGUUUUGUAGGCAUCAAGGCGUGGGGCCACUGGACUCCUCCUGGCUGAACAGCAGAGUGAGCUUCUCAAGUCCCAGCCAGGGACGGUAGAACAGAGUGGUCGUCAUCUGGAAAGUCCAAGACGUAUGAUUACCUAACACUGGUCUCUUGGGUCAGGCCUAUCUGGGCAUCAGGUCCCUCAGAUAUAGAAACAGACCUUUGACUAUCACCCAUCAGAAUUGUCAUAAGGAUUAAGUGGUGUGAUAUGUGUGUGUGUGAAGAGUAACACUUAGUAAAUGGAUUUUUUUCCCACUCCCGGGUCCUAGUGGGAUGUGCUUUCCAUGGCGCUGUUGGUAUCUGUUCUAGAAAGAACAGAAGCCCUUAAGCUUAGUUGUGUUUGCACGUGAAGCAUGCUUGAUGCCGUCAUGAUUAGAGCCGAAUGCAUUGCCGUCUCCUCUUCUCCGGGCAGCUGCUCACGGAUCUGUUUGGGUGGGAGAAACCUUUCCCAGCCUUCCUCAAAACCAUCCUUUGUGCAGCAUCCCCAGGGCUACGCACAGCAAGGAAGUGAGGGAAAGCACACAACAUCUGGUGUUAAACAAACACCAUCAUCCUGCAAAUGACUCUUCCCUGGGAUGGUGAUUCUUGCAUGUGGAGAGCAGAGGGAUGUCAACGCCAGGACCGUGCUAGAGAUUAAACACCUGAAAGGCGUGUGGACUGAGAGGAAGCACGUGACCUCAGAGUUGUUGAGGGUUCUGUUUUACUUGGCGGACAAAACGGAGGACUUGAGCCUGGGGCACAGCAUCUCAGAUAACUCUGAGGAACCUCUCCGCAGAGACAAGGGAAGGGGGAGCCAGGAUUUAUAGGAGGUUUUGCCGCAAAAACAGGGAGUCGGACAUCAAAAGAUUAUUGUUGGAGUUCCCAUUGUGGCUCAGCAGUAAUGAACCCAACUAAUAUCCAUGAAGACAUGGGUUCGAUCCCUGGCCUUGCUCAGUGGGUUAAGGAUCCGGUGUUGCUGUGAGCCGUGAUGCAGCCCACGGCUCGGAUCCCAUGUUAGGGUGGCUGUGGUGUAGGCCAGCAGCUGCAGCUCUUAUUCAACGCCUAGCCUGGGAACCUCUAAAUACUGCAGGCAUGGCCCUAAAAAGACAAAAAAAAAAAAAAAAAAAAAA
This 8070-nucleotide long non-coding RNA is filed under the name Sus scrofa (pig). RNAcentral describes it as "lncRNA (ENSSSCG00050011792.1)". The record is from RNAcentral. Lineage: Eukaryota; Metazoa; Chordata; Mammalia; Artiodactyla; Suidae.